AUGUGGUGGUGCUGGAGCUCCAGGAGCACAGAUCAGCAGAGGGCCCAGCCCAUGCAGAACAGCAGGAACAUCAGUUCCUCCUGUUUCCUUGUGAAAACUGGUGUGAUUCCUCUUGCUGAUGAAGUGGCAAACCCGUCUUCCAGGAUUCCAGCUGGCAUGGUCUCUUGGUGUUCUCUGAGUUCACAUCACUGCUGUCUCCUGGUAAAACGGGAAACAUCUGAAUGGCAUCUCUGCAAGAGCAGAGCAGGCAUGAAGGUUUGUGGAGCACCCUGAGUUCAUGGGAGAGCAUGAGUGGUCACCCCAAAACCCACCACCAGAUGAUAAGGGACAGCAGUGCGAUCUGUAUCAAUCACUCUUGCAAUGAAUGUCCCAUCCUAAACUACCAUUUCUCAGUGGAAGAAGAGAGAAAAUAAAAAUGGCAUCAAAGAAAAUCA
RNAcentral lists this long non-coding RNA (434 nucleotides) under Chloebia gouldiae (Gouldian finch). Its description in RNAcentral is "Erythrura gouldiae (Gouldian finch) lncRNA (ENSEGOG00005002978.1)". Lineage: Eukaryota; Metazoa; Chordata; Aves; Passeriformes; Passeridae. The record is from RNAcentral.